This 635-nucleotide long non-coding RNA is filed under the name Brassica napus (rape). RNAcentral's name for it is "long non-coding RNA (BNAP_LNC024415)". Lineage: Eukaryota; Viridiplantae; Streptophyta; Magnoliopsida; Brassicales; Brassicaceae. The record is from RNAcentral.
ACAAAUGAAGGACUAGGAGAGCUUAUAUAGUGCUCAGAAAUAUCUAAACAAAAUGUUCAUAAAGUAAAAAAGAAAGGAAACAAAUCUCCAAAGACACAAUAUCGGAAACUAGCCGUGGAGUGAUUGUGGGGAUUUGGCUUGCAAAGGAGGAGCUUGAAUAAUCUUGAACCUGGACGGUUUUAAGGCUGAGCUUCUUUGGAAUCAUCUUUACUGCUUGGAAGGUGCUGAUCACGUCCAGAAAUGAAUGAGAAAAAAGCUGUUGGAGUUAGAAUGCUUGAAACUCCAAAUAAGGCAAGUGUGGCCAUAAAUAGAUCCUCCUGAUCAUGUGGGCUUUGGUGCAUGGCAAGAACUCUUCAACUCCUCCUGGAUCACUGUAUAUACUUCUCAUAUUCUUAGAAACAUCUCCUGGUCGCCAUUGUUUGGUUUGACUAAGAUUGAACCGGUGAGACUCCAAAUUAGGCAAUUGCAGAACUGGUUUGACCGGUUUAGGUAAUUGGACCAUAACUCCAUAUUUCCGUGGACUUUUCUCCUCAUUAUCGGCUUGUUGGAAAGUUAAGAGAUCCAUAUUGAAGUCCAUGAGUUGUUUUGGGGCGGAAAUCUUCUUCAUUGGGCUUGAAACAACUUCUAAACUCGGA